Mercenaria mercenaria is the source of this 3260-nucleotide long non-coding RNA. RefSeq lists it as uncharacterized. The transcript is spliced from 3 exons. NCBI's taxonomy places the organism in Eukaryota, Metazoa, Mollusca, Bivalvia, Venerida, Veneridae. The record is from RefSeq and is a predicted model, not a curated record.
CAUGAUAUAAACUUGCACACCUCAUAUUUUGGCUGGCUCCUUUUCCUAUUUUUAAAGUUAUGGCCCCUGAAAUAGUAAAAAAAAAUGCACAUUAUCGCGCCUAGCUGAAAAAGUAUUUGAUUAAAAUUCAUGAAACCUUGCUAGAGUCUUUAUCAUAAUGCUACCGUGCACACUUGGCAUUUUUCUUGGCACUUAUUACAGAGUUAUGGCCCUUGAAAUAACUAAAAUAGUGGAUUUUUUGUUUGUGAUGCUCAUAGCUCAAAAAGUGUAUGGCCUAGAAUAAUAAAUCCUUUUCAUAAAAUGUUUGUUUAGGCUAUACCCUAUUAAGAAGCAAACAUUUGAAUUAUUUCCCCUUAUUUGUGACAAAUGUACCACUGUGUGGGGGUGGGGGCACACCCUGUGUCCCACAGACACAUUCUAAUUUUAGUGUUACCUUGCACCACAUGAAAUUUAGAAUGUUACGUUUUGCAAUAUGAAUUUUGUAGUGGUAAGUUUCUCGAUAUGAAUUUUAAUACUUUACGUUAUUUUACGUUGCACAAGAUGAUUGUUUAUAAAAAGCUGUGUUGCAUCACUUGAAUUUUAGACAGUUACACUUUGCACACUAGAAGUUUAAAAUGUAAUGCUGCAUCAAAUGAAUAUUAGAAUGUCAAGGUGCCUUGAAGAAUAUAGGUAGAGAGCGCAAUAUCCAGAUUGACUGAAGAAUUGUGAAAAACUUUAGUAUAUUAUUUUGUACCACAUGAAUGUUUGAGUGCUAAAUUGUACUAUCGGGCCGAGUAUGUACUUAGAGGAGUCCCUGGAACGUUAUAUUACAUGUGUGGUUUUCUUGUGUAAUGUAGAAUAGGAAACAUUAGGGACAAUUCUUAAGGCACUUCCUUUAAAUGGUUAACUGUAAGUGAUAACUUGACAAGUUACUGAUUGAAACUUAAAUAAAUUUCAGGUGUCUAUUCUGAAAAUCACAAGAGACUUUUACUACAGUACCGUAGAGGAAUUAUUCUUAUAUAUUAUCAAUAAAGACAUAAGUAUUAACUUUUUGUUUUUGUUUAUAUUUAGAUGCACUGGAGCCACUCACACAAUUUAAGGAUGUUACGUUGCACCACAUGAAUAGUACAGGGAACAAUAUCCAGAUUGACUGGAGCCACUCGUACUAUUUAGGGUGUUACGUUUCACCACGAAUGUUAGAAUGUUACGUUGUACCAUAUGAAUUGUAAAUUAUUUCAUUGUGUUACGUGCAUUUUAUAAUGCUACGUUGUGUCAAAUGAAUUUUACAUUUGUAACACAUGGAUAUUAGAAUGCUAAGUUGGACCACAUGAAUAUUAAUGAAGUGCCCAAUAUCAAGUCUGUUUUGAACCACUCAAACCCUUUUACAAUGGAAUAUUGUACCACUUGAAUUCUGGAUGUUAGGUUGAACAACAUGAAUAUUAGUAGAGAACCAAACAUAGAGAUUGACUGUAGUUUUUUCUAGUGCAAGUCUUAUCAUUUCACAGUUACACGUUCUACCAAAUGAAUUUUUGAAUGCCAUGUUGCCCAACAUGAAUUUAGUAGUGUUAUAUUGCACCAAAUGAAUUUUAAAAUGUUAUGUUGUACCACUUGAAGUUUAGAAUGCAACGUUCUACCAUAUGAAUUUUAGAAUGCUACGUUGUAUCUUAUGAAUUAUAAAAACUUAUGUUGUGUUACAUGCAUCUUAUUAGUUUUUUCUAGUGCAAGUCUUAUCAUUUCACAGUUACACGUUCUACCAAAUGAAUUUUUGAAUGCCAUGUUGCCCAACAUGAAUUUAGUAGUGUUAUAUUGCACCAAAUGAAUUUUAAAAUGUUAUGUUGUACCACUUGAAGUUUAGAAUGCAACGUUCUACCAUAUGAAUUUUAGAAUGCUACGUUGUAUCUUAUGAAUUAUAAAAACUUAUGUUGUGUUACAUGCAUCUUAUUAUGUAACGUUACACCACAUGAAUUUUACAAUGUUGUGUUGGACCACAUAAAUAUUUAUAUUGCACCACGUGAUCUUUUGAGUGUUACAUUGUACCACAUAAGUUUUAUAAAUUAUCGCACAUGAAUCGUAAAAUAUUCUUCAUAAUCGUGAUGAACUUUUAUGUUGCAUCUCUUGACUCCUUAGUGUUGCUUUGAAUUUUAUUUGUUAUAUUGCACCAUAUUAUUUUUUAUGUUGCACCACAUUAUUUUUAGUGUUACCUAUUAAGAGUUUUUCGUUUCGCAUGAUACUGAUAGAACCUUUGAUAAAUUUCAGGUGUCUGUUUUGAAGAUCACAAGGGAUUUUUGCUACAGCAUCUUAGAGGUGUUUUGAAUAAAAACAGAAGUGAUGAUUAUUUUCUGUUAAGAAAGUUGGCAGUCUUAUAUAGUCGUCUGUGAACUGCCAAGACCUUACCUUUGAUACUUGUCAGCCUACCAGAGGAUGGCGUGAAGAAGUCUCGAGAUGAACCAUAAUGUUUACGGGAGUUCGAAGAGAUCUAUAUGAGAACUUGAGAAACGUUAAUCUGACGAGUCUAACACAGAAGGAAUCAUCACUAUGAGAUGAUCCAUCAAGUGGCAGCCAUAAUGUUUACAGGAGUCCGAAGAGAUCUAUAUGAGUAUGACGAGUCUAACACAGAAGAAAUCGGCCUCUCUGAACCAUCUCUAAACUUGUUAAGAUCCUACAUCCAUUAGCGCCACCACACCUGCGAAGGCUCCCGCACUUUCAGAUCCUACAUCUCUCAGCGCCACUACUCCAGCGAAGGCUCGUACGGACCCUACAUCUCUCAGCGCCACCACUCCCGCGAAUCUUAUUAAGAGAACUGACUGUGGACGAAGAAAACUUCGCUGCUGAAAGGAAAACGCGAACUAGAAAAACGCAAUCAAACAGCACCACGUAUAUUUUAAAUCAAGAAAAAUUGACAGUAUUUCAGAAGUCAGUAGAAAGUGUUUAUGGUCGCAUUGUGUUAUGUGUAGAUACUUUAAAACUUCAUUAUACAUACAUUUCUUGAGAAAGUAUUAAUUCAGUUGAAUGUAGUAUAUGGUUUACUAGUUGUAUUUGCCAUGGAAACAUUUUUUAUCCUGAAAAGUAAAAAGUUUCAGUAUGUGUGCAGCGGUUUCUUUGCUUAGUGAACUUGUUAUCAAAAUAAAUUUGACUUGAAAAUAAAAUUUGAAAGACUGUUUGAACAAAAUAAAUGUAUUCUAACGUAAUUAAGUAGAAUAUAUGUAUUCUAACGUGAUUAAGUAGAAUAUAAGUGCAUUUAUACAUUGUAAUAUAGAAGCAUGUGUAUAUUGUACCCAUAC